RNAcentral lists this ribosomal RNA (96 nucleotides) under Otolemur garnettii (small-eared galago). The record is from RNAcentral. Lineage: Eukaryota; Metazoa; Chordata; Mammalia; Primates; Galagidae.
AUUUUCGUCUAUGGCCACCCUGAAUGUGUCUGAUCUUGUCUGAUUUUGGAAGCUAAGCAGGGUUGGACCGGGUUAGUACUUGAAUAGGAGAAAAUA